CUUUAUCAGGCAUCUUAUU
Molecule: transfer RNA, 19 nt
Filed under: Catomerus polymerus
Lineage: Eukaryota; Metazoa; Arthropoda; Thecostraca; Balanomorpha; Catophragmidae
Description: partial tRNA-Ile
Source: RNAcentral